This 29-nucleotide small RNA is filed under the name Bombyx mori (domestic silkworm). RNAcentral describes it as "piRNA piR-bmo-1552082". Lineage: Eukaryota; Metazoa; Arthropoda; Insecta; Lepidoptera; Bombycidae. The record is from RNAcentral.
UGAAUUCAUCUCGAGUCUAGCCAAAAAAU